GAUCCUGACUCAAGACGAACGCUGGCGGCGCGCCUAACACAUGCAAGUCGAACGAGCGAGAGAGAGCUUGCUUUCUCAAGCGAGUGGCGAACGGGUGAGUAACGCGUGAGGAACCUGCCUCAAAGAGGGGGACAACAGUUGGAAACGACUGCUAAUACCGCAUAAGCCCACGACCCGGCAUCGGGUAGAGGGAAAAGGAGCAAUCCGCUUUGAGAUGGCCUCGCGUCCGAUUAGCUAGUUGGUG
RNAcentral lists this ribosomal RNA (244 nucleotides) under uncultured bacterium. Its description in RNAcentral is "partial 16S ribosomal RNA". It matches the Rfam family "Bacterial small subunit ribosomal RNA", at positions 15 to 254 of the family's 1533-position model. The record is from RNAcentral.